UGGGGAAUAUUGGACAAUGGGCGCAAGCCUGAUCCAGCAAUGCCGCGUGAGUGAAGAAGGCCUUAGGGUUGUAAAGCUCUUUCGCCCGCGAAGAUAAUGACGGUAGCGGGAGAAGAAGCCCCGGCUAACUCCGUGCCAGCAGCCGCGGAAAUACGGAGGGGGCUAGCGUUGUUCGGAAUUACUGGGCGUAAAGCGUACGUAGGCGGAUGCGCAAGUUGGGGGUGAAAUCCCGGGGCUUAACCUCGGAAUUGCCCUCAAAACUGCACGUCUGGAGACCGAGAGAGGUAAGGGGAAUUCCUAGUGUAGAGGUGAAAUUCGUAGAUAUUAGGAAGAACACCAGUGGCGAAGGCGCCUUACUGGCUCGGUACUGACGCUGAGGUACGAAAGCGUGGGGAGCAAACA
RNAcentral lists this ribosomal RNA (402 nucleotides) under uncultured bacterium. RNAcentral's name for it is "bacterial SSU rRNA". It matches the Rfam family "Bacterial small subunit ribosomal RNA", at positions 355 to 774 of the family's 1533-position model. The record is from RNAcentral.